UACGGGGGGGGCAAGCGUUGUUCGGAAUUACUGGGCGUAAAGGGCCAGUAGGCGGCCGACUAAGUCCGACGUGAAAUCCCCAGGCUUAACCUGGGAACUGCGUCGGAUACUGGCCGGCUUGAAUUCGGGAGAGGGAUGCAGAAUUCCAGGUGUAGCGGUGAAAUGCGUAGAUAUCUGGAGGAAUACCGGUGGCGAAGGCGGCAUCCUGGACCGACAUUGACGCUGAGGAGCGAAAGCCAGGGGAGCAAACGGG
This 253-nucleotide ribosomal RNA is filed under the name uncultured bacterium. RNAcentral describes it as "partial 16S ribosomal RNA". It matches the Rfam family "Bacterial small subunit ribosomal RNA", at positions 524 to 776 of the family's 1533-position model. The record is from RNAcentral.